GGUUGUAGCUUAGUGGUAGAGCACUUGCUUAGCAUGUGUGAGGCACUGGGUUCAAUUGUCAGCACCA
RNAcentral lists this transfer RNA (67 nucleotides) under Marmota monax (woodchuck). RNAcentral describes it as "tRNA.Ala". Lineage: Eukaryota; Metazoa; Chordata; Mammalia; Rodentia; Sciuridae. The record is from RNAcentral.